RNAcentral lists this long non-coding RNA (4213 nucleotides) under Musa acuminata (dwarf banana). RNAcentral's name for it is "long non-coding RNA (MACU_LNC007450)". Lineage: Eukaryota; Viridiplantae; Streptophyta; Magnoliopsida; Zingiberales; Musaceae. The record is from RNAcentral.
GAGUCAAACGUCGGGUCAUAUGGCAGCUAGCCUCAUCUGAGUCGCGCUUGCAAAUGUAAAUAAGUCUUUGCCGAGAAGAUAAGACCCUAGACUACCUUUGAAAUAUCCGUAAAACCAAUUGAAGCGGAAAAUACAAUUAGCGAGAAGCUACUAAAGUCUAAAGACCGAGCGACUCCCCCUCCUAACAACUCAUCCGCAUCGCUCAUCGAAAAUAUCCAUCCCCCCAAAACAUCCAAGGAAUGCCCUGACCUGACCAUCUGAAUGAUAAGAUAUUCCACAUUCGAGUAUUUCAGGUUACAAAUGGAAAUCUAGCCGAAACGAAAAACGCCACUGCUAAACGAAAGAAAGGAACUGUCCAUAUAGAUGGCUUUAAAGAUAGAAUACUUCGAGAGAGCACUUUACAAUAUGAGAGAAAGCUUCCCUUCUUUUGCUUAUUCGAUACUGCUGGCCUAGAAAUGGCGGGGGCUUGGCUUGCCUGAGGACAUAAACUGUUGAUAUCCGAAGAGUCGCGUACCCUAAGAAAGAAAUUCCAUCAACCAUCGAAGUCAGUUCGGCUGGAUCGAUAGAAUAAGGAUAGCUAUUACCUAACUUGCUUGCAUUCCUCGCUUUCAGAUGAGGCGACCGACGGAAGGAAAGUUCAUCAAAUCCAUAACCCUAAACGAAGAAAACCAACGGAGAAAGAGAAAGAAAGCAAUACCGAAAUCAGAACUUGUUCGCAUAUUGUAUUCCGCUCGCGAAACUGGUGUUAUUUAAGGUUGGCUAACAGCUUUCCGGGCAUACUAAUAGAAAGGGAUAAUAUAUAAGGGAAGGAAUAGAAAGGGAUAAUAUAUAAGGGAAGGCUAUCUCUGGAGGAAAUCAAAUAAUAAGGAAGCUACCAGACCAGACCCCAGGUAAAGAUAAGGUACAAUGCUCGAUGAACGAUCUAACAAGAGAGCAUAUGAAAGGAAAGAUCAUUCGUCCGGGGAAUAUAAAUAGAAGGUAGCUGUAAGGGAAUAAGCGAUGGAUAAAGCAUUGAUGAGGGAAUAAGCGAUGGAUAAAGCAUUGAUGAGCAAUCCAAUCUAGGCGGAAGAGAAUCAACCUGUCUGUUACCUUCUAUCGGUAUUUAUGAAGACGCCUAUUCUUGACAAAAAGGGAAAGUCCGGAACACAAACACUGGUUACAAGAUCGAAAUCCAAAAUAGUUCCCUGGUUCCGGGCACAGCAACGAUUAGGGGUAAGUCUAGAGUUCCCUGCUGGCUCUGUAAAGUGUAUAAGGAAGGCAAAGUGUAUCACUGAGAGAGGGGAGCUCCUGAGAUUCUAUGGUAGUCAGGUACCAGUUUGCUGUUACUUAGAAAUAGGAGGAUUAGGGAAUAUAAGGAAGAAAUAGGAGGAUUUGUAUUUGCACAAUGAAUAUAAGGAAGAAAUAGGAGGAUUUGUAUUUGCACAAUGAAUAUAAGGAAUCAAGCCGAUCUUUUUAUUGCGAGAUGAAGCAGAUAUGGCGCGUGGUCCGAGUCAGGGUUACCCUUAUCCUAGUUAAUCUAUGGUAUGUGAUAGCUAACUGUUUAGGGCGGACUUCCCCCAAGGUUGACGGCGAGAAGUCGACGACACUAAACUUGACGUCCCUAUACGUGGCAACGGCUAGGGUAGCCUACGCAAGGGCUCUCCAAAGUGUUCUAUUUGGACUUUUCGUUUUAGGUACGGGCUAUUAGGCUAGGACACUGUCUUAUUUAGCUCCCCCCUAUUGCCUUUCCAAAUCAACUCAUGUAAUUGUGGAGUUAGUUGCUGGUCUACUGCAGCACCGGUUGAGGGCUUAUCGCGUACCGAAGAGAAAAUGUCACCCCUUCCACUCAAGGCGAUGGGAAAUUCUGGAAACAAAAGUCGGCUUUCGCCACUCCAUGGGAAUGCCUUCUAUACUAAUAUAAUAGUGGACGAAACUUUCUUUGAUUUGAGUCGUUCCAUUACAUUUGGAUUCCGUUGAUCUUUUUGCUGUGUGUCCUCUCACCUUCGGCUGAUUCAAUGCUGUCGAUGACCAUACUUUCCUUCUUCACUGGGCAAGACAUCAUAUUCUCUUUCGUGCUGCCUAUAAUCCUUGCCAUUUCUGUCGUUUCCAUCCCGCGUUGACUCUUUACAAUAGGGGCCUUUUAGCCUUCUUUCUGGAAAUCUAUACCAAUCCGUUUGUUGGGCUUGCAUACUUAUUUGUGGGGUUUCGAUUCGUUAAAAGGGAUUAUUGUAGGCUAACGGUGCUGCUUCGAUUGGUGUAACGACUACCCGCUCAGGACGCAACACUCGCCGAAACGGGAAGCUAAACUCACCUAGACCUCUUGUACACAAAAGAUUCUUGACUCAGAUAUGGUGCGACUCUUUGUUUUAGGCUCAAUAGCAUACUCGUCUUAGGGGGCAUGUCUUAUCUCUCUCUCGCUCUCCAUUCAACUACCAGACAAGCAAGGAAAGUCGCUGGAAGGAAAUUGGUGAUUGACCUUCUUCUCCACUUGUAUUGUAGUAGGAAAUCCACAUAAAAGAGCUGGAACCUACUUAGGAACUAAGGGCUUUUCAACGCGGAAGGCGCGAACGAAGAAGUUUGAUGAACCACAUAGCUUAAGAAAUAGUAAACCAUCCAACUUUCAUAGCUAAGAAAUAGUAAACCAUCCAACUUGUGUUUUAUAGUGCACAUUUCGAAUCUCAAAUUGAUGCAUCGAAUUUCAUUAAUGGAAUUGUUGGCUCUUUGAAAGAUGGAGCUGCAUGUGUUCUACUUUGACCCCAAAGCAAAGUCAAGAAAGGAAGAAGAAUGGACUGCUGCUGCAAUUGCAAGUUUAGGAGCCGGGCACCCUUUCAGGGCUAGUGUUUUUUCUGUUGUUUGGCACCAUCUUUUGAUAAAGGUGCGAAGCGCUCUCCUUAAACCAUCUACAAAAGGGUAAAGGGAGUGAGGCGCAUUCAUAAAAGCUUUUUUCACGGGUGGGCCUUUUAAGGAUUGGCAGUUCUUGGUUCAUAGAUCCAGGGGAAGCCCUCACAAUAGAUUAAUCCCGAAUAUGUAUUGUGGGGACAUGGAAGACUUCUCUUUUCUGGACAUAUUCCUGUUCCAAAAGUAUUUGUCCCCGGGACUCCUGCCGCGCAACUACUUCUGAAUUGAAUUGAAGCUGUUUCAAGAUCAUACUUAGUUUCAAGAGCAAGAGAUGAGCCAUAGUUAUAGUUUACAGAGGUAUCGAUGACUUUCGAGUUUCUUUCUUGAAGACCGCUUCUUUUCAUAUAAGUAUUAGUAAAGAGUUGAAGACGGGGGUUAAGAAGAGAUUGAGGUUAAGUCGUCAGCAGAAUAAUUGAUAGUGAGAGUUGCGCGUCAGUCUCAAUUAGUUCUAGUUUGUGGAGUGAGGCUUUAACAGCACCUCUGCAAUCGAUUCUUCAAGUGGAGUUUUGCUCGAUAGAUUCGAAAUUGGGUAGCAGAACACUACUGGUCCAGACUUCUAAAUGGUGUAGCAAGAGAAGAGAUAUUAUUGGAUUUUGCUUGUUUGUUGUGCGUUAGUAGAUUUCUCUAAUUACCUCUGUACUGUACCCCGGCCUUAUAGCCUUAUAUAAUUCCAUUCGCUAACAUCACUAUCACUCCCCGGAAAGUCAACAACUCUAGUUCGCACACCAGUACUUUUGGAUUCCCCAAACUACACUUCCCCUUCCUUUGCCAAUAGAAACUUGAAGUUAACAAUGAAAUGGAAUAUCUCUUGCGGGCGGAUCACCUUGUCAAACAAGAAUCGAAUCCAUCUCUUGCGCUGAGUAUCUAAGAGACCCCCUUCUCUAAGUAUCUAAGAGACCCCCUUCUCUAAGUAUCUAAGAAUAUUACCCCUUAUCUAAUGGAUCAAGCAACAAAGAAUUCCACUUAUGAUCCUGAUCUCGUUGACAACAAAUCUGACUCCUUUUCGCCCGUAAAGUAAACUACGGACGUUCCUCCAUUAGAGUUGAUGCGCCUAUUCUUUCUUUUGAUGCGCCUAUUCUUUCGCGGAGCAGUAAUGGACUUUUGCGUUUCGCUGUUAGGAGUUUUAUUAGGUAGAGCUAUUAUUGUAGUUGUGCACCAUCUUCCAGAAGCCCACUCUACGGGCAGUAACUAAAAGAAAAAGGGUAAGCGCGAAAGACGGUAAGAAUAGAUUGAAAUAGAAAUUCAAACAAGCAGUUGCCCUUAUAUGAAAUUAGCCGGAGGUUUGCCCUAGUAGAUAGCGAGCGUCAGUGAGUCGUUUUCCUUAUAUUGAUACAGA